GAUGAACGCUGGCGGCGUGCUUAACACAUGCAAGUCGAACGGAAAGGCCCAAGCUUGGUUGGGUACUCGAGUGGCGAACGGGUGAGUAACACGUGGGUGAUCUGCCCUGCACUUCGGGAUAAGCCUGGGAAACUGGGUCUAAUACCGGAUAGGACCACCUGCUGGAUGGUGGGGUGGAGAGAUUUUCGGGGUGGGGUGAGGUCGGGGCCUUUCAGCUUGUUGGUGGGGUAAUGGGCUACCAAGGCGUCGACGGGUAGCCGGCCGGGGGGGGGGGACGGCCAAAUUGGGGCCGGGAUACGGCCCAGACUCCCACGGGAGGCAGGAGGGGGGAAUAUUGCACAAUGGGCGCGAGCCUGAUGCAGGCAAGCCGGGGGGGGGAUGACGGCCUUCGGGUUGUAAACCCCUUUCGCUAGGGACCAAGCGUUAUGUGACGGUACCUGGUGAAGAAGCACCGGCUAACUACGUG
Molecule: ribosomal RNA, 466 nt
Filed under: uncultured bacterium
Lineage: Bacteria
Description: partial 16S ribosomal RNA
Rfam family: Bacterial small subunit ribosomal RNA
Source: RNAcentral